This 429-nucleotide ribosomal RNA is filed under the name uncultured bacterium. RNAcentral describes it as "bacterial SSU rRNA". It matches the Rfam family "Bacterial small subunit ribosomal RNA", at positions 355 to 775 of the family's 1533-position model. The record is from RNAcentral.
UGGGGAAUAUUGGGCAAUGGGCGAAAGCCUGACCCAGCCACGCCGCGUGAGUGAUGAAGGCCUUCGGGUCGUAAAGCUCUGUGGGGAGGGACGAAUAAGCCCGGCAUCAACACCGCCGGGCCCUGACGGUACCUCCUUAGCAAGCACCGGCUAACCCUGUGCCAGCAGCCGCGGUAAUACAGGGGGUGCAAACGUUGCUCGGAAUUAUUGGGCGUAAAGCGCACGUAGGCGGUUCGUUAUGUCGGAUGUGAAAGCCCUUGGCUCAACUGAGGAAGUGCAUCCGAAACUGGCGAGCUAGAGUAUGUAAGAGGGUCGCGGAAUUCCCGGUGUAGAGGUGAAAUUCGUAGAUAUCGGGAGGAACACCGGUGGCGAAGGCGGCGACCUGGGACAAUACUGACGCUGAGGUGCGAAAGCGUGGGGAGCAAACAG